RNAcentral lists this ribosomal RNA (574 nucleotides) under Enterococcus faecalis. RNAcentral describes it as "bacterial SSU rRNA". It matches the Rfam family "Bacterial small subunit ribosomal RNA", at positions 45 to 589 of the family's 1533-position model. The record is from RNAcentral. Lineage: Bacteria; Bacillati; Bacillota; Bacilli; Lactobacillales; Enterococcaceae.
UGCCUAAUACAUGCAAGUCCGAACGCUUCUUUCCUCCCGAGUGCUUGCACUCAAUUGGAAAGAGGAGUGGCGGACGGGUGAGUAACACGUGGGUAACCUACCCAUCAGAGGGGGAUAACACUUGGAAACAGGUGCUAAUACCGCAUAACAGUUUAUGCCGCAUGGCAUAAGAGUGAAAGGCGCUUUCGGGUGUCGCUGAUGGAUGGACCCGCGGUGCAUUAGCUAGUUGGUGAGGUAACGGCUCACCAAGGCCACGAUGCAUAGCCGACCUGAGAGGGUGAUCGGCCACACUGGGACUGAGACACGGCCCAGACUCCUACGGGAGGCAGCAGUAGGGAAUCUUCGGCAAUGGACGAAAGUCUGACCGAGCAACGCCGCGUGAGUGAAGAAGGUUUUCGGAUCGUAAAACUCUGUUGUUAGAGAAGAACAAGGACGUUAGUAACUGAACGUCCCCUGACGGUAUCUAACCAGAAAGCCACGGCUAACUACGUGCCAGCAGCCGCGGUAAUACGUAGGUGGCAAGCGUUGUCCGGAUUUAUUGGGCGUAAAGCGAGCGCAGGCGGUUUCUUAAGUC